RNAcentral lists this long non-coding RNA (1016 nucleotides) under Sinocyclocheilus anshuiensis. RNAcentral's name for it is "lncRNA (ENSSANG00000041624.1)". Lineage: Eukaryota; Metazoa; Chordata; Actinopteri; Cypriniformes; Cyprinidae. The record is from RNAcentral.
AUUAACGGCGAUUGUCACAUUGGAUACUUUAAUAGACAAUAUAUGUAAGCUGGCCAGAGAUAAUAAAUAUCGCGCGGUAGCUAUGCCCAUAAUCUCAGGAGGGAUUUUCGGAUUUAACGAAAUUACAAUGGGCGCAGCCCUGGUAAAUGCGUUGCUAAGGAAAACAGACCGAACUGAAUGGCCUAAAGCAUGGAUAAUUUGUCACCCAGAUCCCAUGGUCCUAGAAAAUGUAACUACGAGAGUAAAUCAGGAUCAGGAUGCUGGGGAAGGGAGGUCGAGCCAGGGAACUGGUAUUAUACAGAGACCGAUGAAUCCCGAGGCCGAGGUGCCAGAGGAAGACCCAGAUCCUGAAUGGCCAGAGCUGAGGCGAACGAGAACAGCUAGGGGGAGAAAAGACAGGGUAGAAAACCCGUUCCCCAGAUUAAAACUGGGAAGGAGUUAUGAGACUUUUCGAUUAGGAAAAGGCUUCUAUAAACCCACGCAUGCCACGAGCAGAAAAAGGGAAACAGCUUUAGACAGGACAAAUAAAUGGGAUGAAGAAUAUGUCCCAGGAAUAACCUGCGGACAAGUUUGGUCCAUUUUGAACGGAGGAGACGCAGUUCAGAUUUUAGCAGACACCUCACUGACACAGCGAGCUAAGAGAGCAAUAUUAGCGCAAAAAGAUUUGACCAGCCAGGCCGCGCUGGAAAAGAUAAUCAGAAGCGCGGUGGGUAAUGAUCUAUUCGAAGAGUAUUAUUCAGACGUGGGACCAGAAAGUGACAGUGUAGAAAGUGACUCAGAUGAGAAUCAGGAAGACUCAGAUUAUGAGCGGUUAGUGGUUGAAAGAACAGAGAGAAAUGUGACACCUCUCCCUGUCAGAGCGGCGCGAGCGCCGAGAAGGCUCCGUUUCAGAGACCGAACUCCGGAGUCAGACAUUCAGCCAGAGAGGGAGAUUCAACCAGAGAGGGAAAUGAAUCGACCAGUAGGGUAUGAUGCACUAAAUCAGCAUUUGGAGGCAUUACAUUUAGGGACACCAG